Molecule: ribosomal RNA, 241 nt
Filed under: uncultured bacterium
Lineage: Bacteria
Description: partial 16S ribosomal RNA
Rfam family: Bacterial small subunit ribosomal RNA
Source: RNAcentral
CGACCGGCGCACGGGUGAGUAACACGUAUCCAACCUGCUGAUGACUCGGAGAUAGCCUUUCGAAAGAAAGAUUAAUACCCGAUGGCAUAGUUCUUCCGCAUGGUAGAACUAUUAAAGAAUUUCGGUCAUCGAUGGGGAUGCGUUCCAUUAGGUUGUUGGCGGGGUAACGGCCCACCAAGCCUUCGAUGGAUAGGGGUUCUGAGAGGAAGGUCCCCCACAUUGGAACUGAGACACGGUCCAA